GACAUUGCUAUCGGAGUCCGAUUUAGCCAUGCUAGUCGUGCGAGUUCAGACUCGCGGCACCGAGCUCAGUAACACGUGGCCAAACUACCCUACAGAGAUGGAUACCCUCGGGAAACCGAGGUUAACCCGUCAUACCGAUCUCAGGCUUGAAUCGCAGAGAUCACAAAACGCCCCGGCGCUGUAGGAUGUGGCUGCGGUUGAUUAGGUAGACGGUGGGGUAACGGCCCACCGUGCCCAUAAUCCGUACAGGUUGUGAGAGCAAGAACCUGGAGACGGAAUCUGAGACAAGAUUCCGGGCCCUACGGGGCGCAGCAGGCGCGAAACCUUUACACUGCACGCACGUGCGAUAAGGGGACUCCGAGUGCGAGGGCAUAUCGUCCUCGCUUUCGUGUACCGUAGGGUGGUACACCAACAAGGGCUGGGCAAGACCGGUGCCAGCCGCCGCGGUAAUACCGGCAGCCCGAGUGAUGGCCGAUCUUAUUGGGCCUAAAGCGUCCGUAGCUGGCUGCGCAAGUCCGUCGGGAAAUCCACUCGCCCAACGAAUGGGCGUCCGACGGAAACUGCACAGCUUGGGACCGGAAGGCUCGAAGGGUACGUUCGGGGUAGGAGUGAAAUCCCAUAAUCCCGCACGGACCACCGAUGGCGAAAGCACUUCGAGAAAACGGAUCCGACAGUGAGGGACGAAAGCCAGGGUCUCCAACCGGAUUAGAUACCCGGGUAGUCCUGGCCGUAAACAAUGUUCGCUAGGUAUGACACAGACUACGCGUCUCUGUUGUGCCGUAGGGAAGCCGAGAAGCGAACCGCCUGGGAAGUACGUCG
This 819-nucleotide ribosomal RNA is filed under the name uncultured archaeon. Its description in RNAcentral is "bacterial SSU rRNA". It matches the Rfam family "Archaeal small subunit ribosomal RNA", at positions 23 to 842 of the family's 1478-position model. The record is from RNAcentral.